CCAAUUAGGACUCUAGGAAUCCUACUCGAAGUAGGACUCUUGUUUCAAGUCCAAUUAAUUAAUUCCCUUUGUUCCUUCUUCAACUGAAUAUCAAUCGAAUUGAUUACUUGUGAUUCCUAAUCACUAUUCAACCAUCAGAUCGGUCAAUACUUCUAGUGUGUGUGACCCCAUAGGUUCUACUCUGACUGGUAGUGAGAUAUAUUGUGAUCUCUAUCACAAUUUCAUUGAAGACUCCUUUCAAUGGGUUGGAACGAUUCCAACUCAACUCAUUAGGGUUUAUCGAUCAUCAAG
This 291-nucleotide long non-coding RNA is filed under the name Phoenix dactylifera (date palm). RNAcentral describes it as "long non-coding RNA (PDAC_LNC021806)". The record is from RNAcentral. Lineage: Eukaryota; Viridiplantae; Streptophyta; Magnoliopsida; Arecales; Arecaceae.